CAGUCGCCGCGGGAAUACAGAGGGUGCGAGCGUUAAUCGGAUUUACUGGGCGUAAAGCGUGCGUAGGCGGCUAAUUGAGUCGGAUGUGAAAUCCCCGAGCUUAACUUGGGAAUUGCAUUCGAUACUGGUUAGCUAGAGUGUGGGAGAGGACGGUAGAAUUCCAGGUGUAGCGGUGAAAUGCGUAGAGAUCUGGAGGAAUACCGAUGGCGAAGGCAGCCAUCUGGCCUAAUACUGACGCUGAGGUACGAAAGCAUGGGGAGCAAACAGGAUUAGAUACCCCCGUAGUCCCUGUCUCUUAUAC
This 301-nucleotide ribosomal RNA is filed under the name uncultured bacterium. Its description in RNAcentral is "partial 16S ribosomal RNA". It matches the Rfam family "Bacterial small subunit ribosomal RNA", at positions 509 to 807 of the family's 1533-position model. The record is from RNAcentral.